GCGUACCCUUGGGAUUUCACUAUAAUCUCACGGAUUACAGUUGGAUUGUUUUCCGGGCUCACAAUCCAAAAACCUUGUUGGUUUUACGGGCUCACCAACGAACCUUUACAACUAUGGUUUUCCGGGUUCACCAAAAAUCUUGUUGGUUUUGCGGGCUCACCAACGAACCUAUACACUUGGUUUUCCGGGCUCACCAAGAACCUUGUUGGUUUUGCGGGCUCACCAACGAACCUUUGUUGGUUUUGCGAGCUUACCAACGAACCUUUACAAAGUGUUUAUACAAAUGAAAAGAAAAGAUUUAAACUCCUAGAUGAGCAUAUAAAGCAAUAUGAACAACAAGAAGAGUUAGAAAGAAAUUAUCGCUUUGAAGUCGCUUUGCUCUUCUUGGUCAAGGAAGCUUCACUCUUCAAUGGGGGAAGGAGCUCUUAAUGCCUCUUUGAAUCUGCUCAAUUCCUUUCUUUGAUUCUUGAAUGAAGCUCUUGAUGAAGCUUGUCUUGCUAGGGUUCUCUCUUGAAUGCACUUGAUGUAUUUUUCUCAAAGCUUUCUUCCUCUGAUGAAUNN
RNAcentral lists this long non-coding RNA (561 nucleotides) under Phoenix dactylifera (date palm). RNAcentral describes it as "long non-coding RNA (PDAC_LNC009062)". The record is from RNAcentral. Lineage: Eukaryota; Viridiplantae; Streptophyta; Magnoliopsida; Arecales; Arecaceae.